Eriocheir sinensis (Chinese mitten crab) is the source of this 763-nucleotide long non-coding RNA. RefSeq lists it as uncharacterized. The transcript is spliced from 2 exons. The record is from RefSeq and is a predicted model, not a curated record. NCBI's taxonomy places the organism in Eukaryota, Metazoa, Arthropoda, Malacostraca, Decapoda, Varunidae.
AGUACCUUGGCAUGAAACACAUCUCCCGCCCCCUCAAAGGUAAAGGGAUUAAUAUGUCACCAUCCAACACAACAGUGACGAGUACCUAGGCAUGAAACACAUCUCCCGCCCCCUCAAAGGUAAAGGGAUUAAUAUGUCACCAUCCAACACAACAGUGACGAGUACCUAGGCAUGAAACACAUCUCCCCGCCCCCUCAAAGGCAAAGGGAUUAAUAUGUCACCAUCCAACACAACAGUGACGAGUACCUUGGCAUGAAACACAUCUCCCGCCCCCUCAAAGGUAAAGGGAUUAAUAUAUCACCAUCCAACACAACAGUGACGAGUACCUUGGCAUGAAACACAUCUCCCGCCCCCUCAAAGGUAAAGGGAUUAAUAUGUCACCAUCCAACACAACAUUAACAAGUACGAAAGCAUGAAAUACGUUUUCCCUGUCUCCCAACGAGCAAAAAAGAUUGACUGAUUUCUCACAAUCCAAAACAACUGUAACAAGCAGGGAAGCAUGAAUUACGUCCCCGCCCCCAACGGGAAAAAGAUUGACUGAUUUAUGAAAUUAAAUACCAUAAAAAAAAGUUGAAAUGACGUGCAAAACGCGGUGCUGCAGACUGAUCACAUGUAUUAAUGCACGCACGUCAGGGCUGAACACAAUAUAAUGACGUGCACAAUGGGGUGCUGCAGACUGAUCACAUGUAUUAAUACACGCACGUCAGGGCUGAACACAAUAUAAUGACGUGCACAAUGGGGUGCUGCAGACUGAUCACAUGUA